UACGUAGGGUGCAAGCGUUGUCCGGAAUUAUUGGGCGUAAAGAGCUUGUAGGUGGUUUGUCGCGUUGUUCGUGAAAUCUCACGGCUCAACUGUGAGCGUGCGGGCGAUACGGGCAGACUAGAGUACUGCAGGGGAGACUGGAAUUCCUGGUGUAGCGGUGGAAUGCGCAGAUAUCAGGAGGAACACCGGUGGCGAAGGCGGGUCUCUGGGCAGUAACUGACGCUGAGAAGCGAAAGCGUGGGGAGCAAACAGG
This 253-nucleotide ribosomal RNA is filed under the name uncultured bacterium. RNAcentral's name for it is "partial 16S ribosomal RNA". It matches the Rfam family "Bacterial small subunit ribosomal RNA", at positions 524 to 776 of the family's 1533-position model. The record is from RNAcentral.